CUUUGAUAUCUACGAAUCUGAACCAUCAUCGUCGUUGUCGUCUUCCAAACAGUUGCCGGGGAAAGAAUCGCGCCGAUCCUUCAAUUCCCAGUGGAUCUUCUCGGUGAUUAUAUUUCUUCAAUGGUGAUCAUUACGUUUGGUGGUGAAGGGAAUCUCUCUGUAGAAUGGGUGAUUUCUCAAUUCAGAUCAGUUCUAAAUUGAUCAGACAGCUAUCCGAGGCGCACAUAAACCGAAUACGAAACAAAAGAAAACCAUACGCAAAAGCUUCAACCGAAACCCAGUUCAGACAGCAAGAAAACACUCCAUGAUACCGAGAAACCAAAGCCAGAGGCAGAACUGCCAGUUCGUCCACCAUUCCUCCUCCCGGUACCGAAACAACCAUCACAGUCGAAUCCGUUCUAAAAGAGGGCGAGGAGGUUGUAGAGAAGUUGGAGAAACAAGAAAAGAACAUGGCUCAUGAAGAGUAAGAGAGAGAGAGAGACAAUGAUCUAAUAGACAAGGAGUUCAAGAUUCUGUUCUGUCCCCUGAGCCAAUGCCUUGUUCUUCAGAGAAUGAUGCAUUCUUCAAAAUUUUACAAGGAGAAUGUCGACGAUCCUCUGAAAUGUGGCGGAUUGGCUAGGAGUUUUGCAGAUUGUGCACAUCGAGCCAGGGAGCAACCGAGUUCUGUGCCAAAAAAAAAAUACAUGGAAAAAAAAUCUCGAGGGGGAGAAGAAAGAAGGGUGUUUUUGCUGCAAGAUCUGAUUGAUGGUAAGAACAUGUUAUUUCCUUUUACUCUGACAUGAAAAACAGAACAAGCUGAUGAAUCUGUGUGAUCAUACUCAUUCUCAAGCCAUGUAUCAGAUUUGGCUUAAUUAUAUAGGGAGAGACCAAAAAGGACAAGAAGAUCAUAAACCUGUCGGCAUACAAUGUUGUCAA
Long non-coding RNA from Tarenaya hassleriana, 915 nucleotides. RefSeq lists it as uncharacterized. The transcript has 2 exons. The record is from RefSeq and is a predicted model, not a curated record. NCBI's taxonomy places the organism in Eukaryota, Viridiplantae, Streptophyta, Magnoliopsida, Brassicales, Cleomaceae.